This is a long non-coding RNA of Trifolium pratense (red clover), 795 nucleotides long. RefSeq lists it as uncharacterized. The transcript is spliced from 2 exons. NCBI's taxonomy places the organism in Eukaryota, Viridiplantae, Streptophyta, Magnoliopsida, Fabales, Fabaceae. The record is from RefSeq and is a predicted model, not a curated record.
UCUUUUUACUCUUUUGUAAAUCUGCUUUAUUGAACAUUCAUGUUAUCUACUUGUCUAGUUAAUCUCCAGAGCCGUUGGUGCCGGAAAGGGUUGGUAUUGUCUUCCAAUUUUCGAAGAGGUACAAAUAUAAACUAAUAAAAUAUGGUAAUAGGUUUUGUUACUUCAUAAUUUGCAUUUUGUUUUAAUCUUGUGUCGUAAAUAUUGAGCUAUAAUGUUAUAGACAUCUACUACAUUGUUUCAAUUUCACUCUAUAAUAUAUAUAGUUCUCUUGAUUAUGAAAAUGUAUUACAUGAUUGUUUGACAUGACAUAUAAGUAAAGUGUUAUACAAAUCUUUGUUUCAAACACUUGUCUAACUUGCAACACAAUACACCCCUGUUUCAUAAUUUUGGCUUCAUGAAGAAUUAACAGUGAGUGCAAAAGUUUGAAGGACAAAGCUACUUGAACAAGGCUCAACUGGUUAGAUGCUAGAGAAAUCGACGUGAAUUUGCUAAUUUCAUGGUCCGAAACAUUGUUGAGGCUUGAGCAGCAAAUAGUGGCAGCUGGUGGCUCAAUCCCUAUGAUGGAAUGGAACUGAGUUCUAAGUGAGUGGAUAUGUAAAGAUAAUACACAUUUCACUUAGAUUAUGCAUAUGUGCCUCUGGCAUUUUGUUUGCUCUCCAUAUGCAAUUGCACUUUACAUCUCAUUGUAUUGUUGGUUAAUCAUAAAGAAAACAUGCUUUUGAAUCUGUGUCAUGUAUUGGAUGCGUACGUAGUGUUGGAUAUUGAUACUAAUAUACUAUUUUAAAUUGCACUUAA